Triticum aestivum (bread wheat) is the source of this 1762-nucleotide long non-coding RNA. RefSeq lists it as uncharacterized. Lineage: Eukaryota; Viridiplantae; Streptophyta; Magnoliopsida; Poales; Poaceae. The transcript has 2 exons. The record is from RefSeq and is a predicted model, not a curated record.
AUGGGUCCCACCAGUCCGUUUGUUCACUUUCCCCAUUCUAUAGUCUUCUCGACUUCUCAGUUCAUCUUACCCACUCACACUCCCUCUCGCCCGAUCCCCUUUCUCCUUUCCUUAUUCUAUCUGCUCACUCCAAAAUUGCUGCCGCUGGAUAGCUCCCAUCAACUUGCUCUCUUGAUUCGCAACCGGUGCUUCCAUAUUGUGUCCAUCAGCGGCGGCUAGUAUGGCUUCUCGUAUGUCUCCUCAGUCUCGUACGCUGUUGAAUGGCGAUUGAGGAGUAGUCGGGUCCAAGGAUCAAGUGUAGCAAGGAAUCAUUGAUCUGCACGGUGUCGGUGUUCUUGGCGUCCGUGCAGUUGAUUUGGGCAGAAUGUCGUCUCAUGCAGCCCGGUUGGAUCCAUCUUGAGUAUUAGGAUGCUGGCGACGUUGUCUUCCCCAAGUGUGCAAGCCAGAAACAUCAUUGGUAUUCUCGCUCCAGGUAGCCCGGCACGUCGUUGUCAUCCUCCAAGGUGUCGACAUUUUCCGAAGUUCGAAGUCCGACCUGCAGUCUGGCAUACAGUGAAUCAUGCAAAUGGCUUGAUGUCGCGCAUAAGAUGAUACCUGCUGGAGGUGUUGUUGUCGCUGGACGGAGUUAAUACUGUAGGUUGUUACGUCUCUGGCUCGAGUUGAUUGGACAAUCCUCAAUAUUACGUACAAUGGUCUACAAGCACAAUAUUGGUAAGUGGAAGUAAAGGUAAGUGGCUUGCCUCUUGAUAACCUUAAAAUUCUUCUCUCGUGACUUUCACAACACUUGUAAUCCAUGUAUCCAUUUUUGGCAUGGCUUAUUCACCGGGAUAAAAUAUUAGGUGUAACAUCUCACUGUUAAGAACUUGACAACUGCACAAAGAACUGUGCAUCGCUAGGUGGCUGAGAGUAACUACAAUUCUUUUAAGAAGUGCAGCUCUAAACAAUGCUUAGUUUUGGGAGUAAUUAUCUUGAGCAUUGUCCAUUUUCUUCCUCAUCACGAUGCUAUCCCUUUCGCUUAACUCAGUCUAAUGCAAAAUCAAGCAAGAAAAUAAAUUCAGGUUAUUUGGAGCAAAAUUUUCUGGCUUUUUUAUAUAAUAGAGGAAUACCAAAUAGCAAAAAAUUAGGUUUAGGACCUAGGAAGCAGACAACAAUAAAGUAGUAAGCAUGAACAUUUUCAUCUCGGCACAAAAAGUUAAGUACAGUUUGAACGCCAAUGUUCUAGAACUCAUUUGGUUCUCAAUUACUGUAUAAAUGGACACAACAGUCGUAUAACUUGUAAGAUAUAGGUAACUGUAGGUUGCACAAAAAACUAAAACCAAGUAAGCGAUGCAGAGGAAAAUCUUAAGUAAUCAAGAUUGAUUUGAGUGGAUUUAGAUUACUGGUGUCUUGGAUGGUUAUAAAUUAAGGAGAUACAUUGGUGUAGAUCUAUUAAUAUUUAUGGUACGUGCUUUAAUUGUUGGAUGUUUUGAUUCUUUGUUGGAUUUUCUGGUAUGUCUUUUUUAUUGGGUUAGCUUUGCAUGUACUUCUAAUAAACAUUGGUUGUAGUUACAACAACUCUGUGACUUUGGCAUCGCGGUGCAGGUGCGGCAUAUGGGUAGACUCAGGACGUGCAAUCGGCUUGUGCAGGUCAGCGGCGGCAAUGAAUUCCCGUUUAACAUUUUUGUAAAUUUUGUUGGAAGGUUAUUCUUGUAAGCUUGGAGUUGGUGAAUACCUAAUAUAUAAUGUACGGGAUAUGUGAGCAUGAAUAUUGACCAUAAAAUAA